AUGAACGCUGGCGGCGUGCCUAAUCCAUGCCAGUCGAGCGAACAGACGAGGAGCUUGCUCCUUUGACGUUAGCGGCGGACGGGUGAGUAACACGUAGGUAACCUACCUAUAAGACUGGGAUAACUUCGGGAAACCGGAGCUAAUACCGGAUAAUAUUUCGAACCGCAUGGUUCGAUAGUGAAAGAUGGCUUUGCUAUCACUUAUAGAUGGACCUGCGCCGUAUUAGCUAGUUGGUAAGGUAACGGCUUACCAAGGCAACGAUACGUAGCCGACCUGAGAGGGUGAUCGGCCACACUGGAACUGAGACACGGUCCAGACUCCUACGGGAGGCAGCAGUAGGGAAUCUUCCGCAAUGGGCGAAAGCCUGACGGAGCAACGCCGCGUGAGUGAUGAAGGUCUUCGGAUCGUAAAACUCUGUUAUUAGGGAAGAACAAACGUGUAAGUAACUGUGCACGUCUUGACGGUACCUAAUCAGAAAGCCACGGCUAACUACGUG
RNAcentral lists this ribosomal RNA (496 nucleotides) under uncultured bacterium. Its description in RNAcentral is "partial 16S ribosomal RNA". It matches the Rfam family "Bacterial small subunit ribosomal RNA", at positions 29 to 507 of the family's 1533-position model. The record is from RNAcentral.